AGUGUCUGUGGAGGUUCACGGUGCUGUAGAAAACAAGAGGCAGAGGAAGACACCAUGCUCUUUACUUAUCCACACAUAUGAGGUAUUCAAAAUACUUCUGUCAUCAGUGUUGGGACAGAUUAAUUCAACUUUUACACUAAAGCCAAGCAAAAGCUUUACUAAUUGUUUCUAUCAAUUGCAGAUCUUUUAGCCUGCAUCAAAUUAUCCUGACAGAAAUGCACCACAAAGUAAGUAAGAAAGACUUAAAUAAAUUAUAUUUGAAAGAAGAGCAUUACACACGGCAGACUAGUUUCUUCUUCUUGCUCACACAGGUAGCUGCAGUCAGGGCAGCAGAAUUACUGAAACAUCGUUGUUCUGAGAUUUGUAUCUAGCUUGUUUCCUACAUCUGCGAUUACUACUGUAAUACGCAUAGCAUACACAGUCAUCUUUCAACAUUUUCACUAAUUUAAUAAUGUUGAAUUCAGGAAAUAAAUUUAAAAUAGAUUUUUAAAAUUUUGGUAGGCCUCUUCUGACUUUGUCACUCUAACCUCUUAAAAAAUGACUGUCCUGGGAGAUGUUAUACACCCUUGACACCAUUCCGAUUGCUUUGGAAAGAAUGCCCAGCCCUUAUGUUGUCUGCUGGACUAGUUGUGGGUUGAAAAACUGAUUUCUUAAACACUGCUGUAAGGGGCAGAACUGUGUGGCUUUUGUCCACAAUUGUCCAUCUAAGCUCCAGCUGCAGAGGGAAAACCAAAAUCUCAGUUGGGCCUUCUGAGAGAGAAGACAUGCCUGAGGGUUUCUCAUUCUUAUGUCUAACAGAUUAAAUAUGAGGGAAGGAAAAAAUUUGUUUUUCUCCAGAUUUUGGGAUGGUUGUCCCACCUUUGAGCAGCUGGAUACCACAAUCUUUUUAGUGUCUAACAGUUUUUCUUCUUGUAUCCUAGUAGGUCUCAACUGAAAAGGAGAAAGUGGUGAAUAUCAAAAAAUGCAUGAAAAGAAAUAUUUGAUUCUGGCUCUCGUGUCCAGGUGAUGGUACCAAAGAUCUUUCUCAUCUGGGAACUUGCCUUGUAACCGUUGAACUCACGGCUGACCCUGGUUAUCACCAUCUGAUCAUCAGGAGGCACAUCCUUACCGUGCAGGUGACGGAGCACAGGCACAGGCUGCCCAGAUCAGCAGUGCAGGCUCCUCCUUGGAGAUCUGCAAAAGCCCCUGGACGUGGCCCUGGGCAGCCUGCUCUGGGUGGCCCUGCUUGGGCAGGGGGUUGGGCCAGGUGGGCUCUGGAGGUCCCCGCCAACCUUAACCAUCCUGAUCAGACUUGUUCCGCUCUUCUUUUUCUGGUAAUGUGGAACUGGGCCCCUUGCCAGUAAAGCUACUCUCCCACCUGCCUUGCUGCCGUUCUCAGCUCUGGGCUUGCAUUCCCACACGGGCAAGCUCAGCCCUACUGCUCUCCAGAGUGUUUUUUGCUCAUUAGGUAUGGCUUUGUAAUGCUUUUAGUUGGGUCCAUCUUGUUAAAAUAAUGAACGGAAGGAGAUAAGCUCAAAAGAAAAUUUAAGGUAAGAAGAUGAACAGUUUAUCAGCACUGUAAAGACAGUUUUUAGAACUGUAAAGAACACUGGUAUUAGAAUAUUAUUUUUGUGUAUACCUUUUUUAUCCAGCCAAUACACUUCCUCAUGAGAACACAGCUUUUCUGAAAAAUAAAGUUUCUUGAGUAAAAUUUUUGUGUACA
This 1702-nucleotide long non-coding RNA is filed under the name Anser cygnoides (Swan goose). RNAcentral describes it as "lncRNA (ENSACDG00005017688.1)". The record is from RNAcentral. Lineage: Eukaryota; Metazoa; Chordata; Aves; Anseriformes; Anatidae.